Molecule: ribosomal RNA, 412 nt
Filed under: bacterium enrichment culture clone ALO1_GLFRUDD03G6SUH
Lineage: Bacteria
Description: bacterial SSU rRNA
Rfam family: Bacterial small subunit ribosomal RNA
Source: RNAcentral
GAGUUUGAUCAUGGCUCAGAUUGAACGCUGGCGGCAUGCCUUACACAUGCAAGUCGAACGGCAGCACGGGAGCUUGCUCCUGGUGGCGAGUGGCGAACGGGUGAGUAAUGCAUCGGAACGUAUCCUGGAGUGGGGGAUAACGUAGCGAAAGUUACGCUAAUACCGCAUAUUCUGUGAGCAGGAAAGCGGGGGACCUUCGGGCCUCGCGCUCUUGGAGCGGCCGAUGUCGGAUUAGCUAGUUGGUGAGGUAAAGGCUCACCAAGGCGACGAUCCGUAGCAGGUCUGAGAGGAUGAUCUGGCCACACUGGAACUGAGACACGGUCCAGACUCCUACGGAGGCAGCAGUGGGAAUUUUGGACAAUGGGGGCAACCCUGAUCCAGCCAUGCCGCGUGAGUGAAGAAGGCCUCGGUU